GACGAACGCUGGCGGCGUGCUUAACACAUGCAAGUCGAACGGAAAGGCCCUGCUUUUGUGGGGUGCUCGAGUGGCGAACGGGUGAGUAACACGUGAGUAACCUGCCCUUGACUUUGGGAUAACUUCAGGAAACUGGGGCUAAUACCGGAUAGGAGCUCCUGCUGCAUGGUGGGGGUUGGAAAGUUUCGGCGGUUGGGGAUGGACUCGCGGCUUAUCAGCUUGUUGGUGGGGUAGUGGCUUACCAAGGCUUUGACGGGUAGCCGGCCUGAGAGGGUGACCGGCCACAUUGGGACUGAGAUACGGCCCAGACUCCUACGGGAGGCAGCAGUGGGGAAUAUUGCACAAUGGGCGGAAGCCUGAUGCAGCAACGCCGCGUGCGGGAUGACGGCCUUCGGGUUGUAAACCGCUUUCGCCUGUGACGAAGCGUGAGUGACGGUAAUGGGUAAAGAAGCACCGGCUAACUACGUGCCAGCAGCCGCGGUGAUACGUAGGGUGCGAGCGUUGUCCGGAUUUAUUGGGCGUAAAGGGCUCGUAGGUGGUUGAUCGCGUCGGAAGUGUAAUCUUGGGGCUUAACCCUGAGCGUGCUUUCGAUACGGGUUGACUUGAGGAAGGUAGGGGAGAAUGGAAUUCCUGGUGGAGCGGUGGAAUGCGCAGAUAUCAGGAGGAACACCAGUGGCGAAGGCGGUUCUCUGGGCCUUUCCUGACGCUGAGGAGCGAAAGCGUGGGGAGCGAACAGGCUUAGAUACCCUGGUAGUCCACGCUGUAAACGGUGGGUACUAGGUGUGGGGUCCAUUCCACGGGUUCCGUGCCGUAGCUAACGCUUUAAGUACCCCGCCUGGGGAGUACGGCCGCAGGGCUAAAACUCAAAGGAAUUGACGGGGCCCCGCACAAGCGGCGGAGCAUGCGGAUUAAUUCGAUGCAACGCGUAGAACCUUACCUGGGUUUGACAUGGAUCGGGAGUGCUCAGAGAUGGGUGUGCCUCUUUUGGGGUCGGUUCACAGGUGGUGCAUGGCUGUCGUCAGCUCGUGUCGUGAGAUGUUGGGUUAAGUCCCGCAACGAGCGCAACCCUUGUUCACUGUUGCCAGCACGUUAUGGUGGGGACUCAGUGGAGACCGCCGGGGUCAACUCGGAGGGAGGUGGGGAUGACGUCAAGUCAUCAUGCCCCUUAUGUCCAGGGCUUCACGCAUGCUACAAUGGCUGGUACAGAGAGUGGCGAGCCUGUGAGGGUGAGCGAAUCUCGGAAAGCCGGUCUCAGUUCGGAUUGGGGUCUGCAACUCGACCUCAUGAAGUCGGAGUCGCUAGUAAUCGCAGAUCAGCAACGCUGCGGUGAAUACGUUCCCGGG
This 1343-nucleotide ribosomal RNA is filed under the name uncultured bacterium. Its description in RNAcentral is "16S ribosomal RNA". It matches the Rfam family "Bacterial small subunit ribosomal RNA", at positions 28 to 1378 of the family's 1533-position model. The record is from RNAcentral.